AUAUAUCAACCUCUUCAGCUUUUGCUUGUUGAGUGUUGGAUGUGGGGGUCUUUUUUUGCUGGUCUUCUCAGGUCAGCUCCCCUGAAAUGCAUUAGCGGAACAAUUUGUGGACCGUUCAUUGGUGUGAUAAUUAUCUACGCUAUUGACGUGAAGCAGUUCAGCUUCAAACAGUCCAUUGACUUGGACAAAUUUUUAUUA
Molecule: unclassified non-coding RNA, 198 nt
Filed under: Phlegmacium balteatum
Lineage: Eukaryota; Fungi; Basidiomycota; Agaricomycetes; Agaricales; Cortinariaceae
Description: partial internal transcribed spacer 2
Source: RNAcentral